This 255-nucleotide ribosomal RNA is filed under the name uncultured bacterium. RNAcentral's name for it is "partial 16S ribosomal RNA". It matches the Rfam family "Bacterial small subunit ribosomal RNA", at positions 524 to 776 of the family's 1533-position model. The record is from RNAcentral.
GACAGAGGGUGCAAACGUUGUUCGGAUUUACUGGGCGUAAAGCGCGUGUAGGCGGCUUGGCAAGUUGGAUGUGAAAGCCCACGGCUCAACCGUGGAAGCGCAUCCAAAACUGCUUCGCUCGAGUCUCGGAGAGGAAGGUGGAAUGCUUGGUGUAGAGGUGAAAUGCGUAGAGAUGCGGAGGAACACCAGUGGCGAAAAGCGGCUUUCUGGUCCUUAACUGACGCUGAGGCGCGAAAGCAUGGGGGAGCGAACGGG